RNAcentral lists this ribosomal RNA (408 nucleotides) under uncultured bacterium. RNAcentral's name for it is "partial 16S ribosomal RNA". It matches the Rfam family "Bacterial small subunit ribosomal RNA", at positions 28 to 526 of the family's 1533-position model. The record is from RNAcentral.
GACGAACGCUGGCGGCGUGCUUAACACAUGCAAGUCGAACGAAGUGGCGCACGGGUGAGUAACGCGUAAUCAACCUGCCCCUCAGAGGGGGACCACAGUUGGAAACGACUGCUAAUACCUCAUACUGAAGGAGGGGAUUGGGUGUGAUUAGCGAGUUGGAGGGGUAACGGCCAACCAAGGCGAGGAUCAGUAGCCGGGCUGGGAGGAUGAACGGCCAAAAUGGGACUGAGACACGGGCCAGACUCCUACGGGAGGCAGCAGUGGGGAAUCUUCCGAAAUGGACGAAAGGCUGACGGAGCAACGCCGCGUGAGUGAUGACGGCCUUCGGGUUGUAAAGCUCUGUUAAUCGGGACGCGGUACCGGAAUAGAAAGCCACGGCUAACUACGUGCCAGCAGCCGCGGUAAUAC